AACAAGGCGUACCUGCGGACCUGCGGAGGGAUCAUUACGAGAGUGUCACCACUCCCAACCCAUUGUUUACCUACCCGUCCACCGUGCUUCGGCAGGCAGCCCUGUGGGACAGAGCCUCGCCCCCUUUCGCGGGGGGUGCCUGCCGCUUGCCAACCAAAACUCUAGCUGUUUUAGUACCAUCUGAGUCUUCCACAAAUGAACAAAACUUUCAGCAACGGAUCUCAGAUCGGAAGAGCACAC
Molecule: unclassified non-coding RNA, 240 nt
Filed under: soil metagenome
Description: partial contains 5.8S ribosomal RNA, internal transcribed spacer 2, and large subunit ribosomal RNA
Source: RNAcentral